Molecule: ribosomal RNA, 207 nt
Filed under: uncultured delta proteobacterium
Lineage: Bacteria; Deltaproteobacteria
Description: partial 16S ribosomal RNA
Rfam family: Bacterial small subunit ribosomal RNA
Source: RNAcentral
CGUGUAGGCGGCCGGCCAAGUCGGAUGUGAAAGCCCUCGGCUCAACCGAGGAAGUGCGUUCGAUACUAGCUGGCUUGAGUACCGGAGAGGGUGGUGGAAUUCCCGGUGUAGAGGUGAAAUUCGUAGAUAUCGGGAGGAACACCAGUGGCGAAGGCGACCACCUGGACGGAUACUGACGCUGAGACGCGAAAGCGUGGGGAGCAAACA